CUUGAAAGAACUGGCUUGUAGACUACAUGGACUGCAAAGGGUGAUCAGAAGCUGUGAAUGCAUACCACAGGUUCCAGAAACCACCUGUGGCAUAAAGCAAUAUUCUGCUACUGAGACAAGAUAAUUAAGAAUCCCUGUGGACAGCACUGAUCUCACAGAGCGAGGCCAGGAAUGGUACCGGAGGAUUGGAGAGAGGUUCUUUUGAAGACCCUGACCUGGAGUUACAUGCUGACUUCGGUUCUUUGCGGAAAUGGGACCUGCUCUCGGGGCCUCACGACUGGCCGCUUUCCAAUAUGCUGAGGACGCGACCCAGAAGACUAGCCCGCCUUCAGGGUACCAGAUUUUCAUGGAACUGGAGGCGAGUGGAUUCAAGUCUAGUGCCGCCACUCACCACCUGAUGCAUUGUGGGAAACGGAAGAUCGAAAGCAGCGACCUGGAUGCUGGCUGUGUGUCCAGAGACCCGAGUUCUUUGGGCACAGAGCUCGGAAGAAGCGACGCAACAGACUUUGAACAUCGUAAAUCAGUAGGUUGCUUUGUUAUGUCUCCCCUCUCGCUGUGAAACAGAGACACUUCUUUUUCCCUUGUUAGGGAGAGAGAGAGCCUGUGGUAUGUCGAACACCAGGUGAAUGAGUAGUCUUUGGGAUACUGCAAAGUCUGUGUCUUUAUUGAUGCCUUGCUGCACG
This is a long non-coding RNA of Mobula hypostoma (lesser devil ray), 683 nucleotides long. RefSeq lists it as uncharacterized. NCBI's taxonomy places the organism in Eukaryota, Metazoa, Chordata, Chondrichthyes, Myliobatiformes, Myliobatidae. The transcript has 4 exons. The record is from RefSeq and is a predicted model, not a curated record.